This 465-nucleotide ribosomal RNA is filed under the name uncultured bacterium. Its description in RNAcentral is "partial 16S ribosomal RNA". It matches the Rfam family "Bacterial small subunit ribosomal RNA", at positions 28 to 507 of the family's 1533-position model. The record is from RNAcentral.
GACGAACGCUGGCGGCGUGCUUAACACAUGCAAGUCGAACGGAAAGGCCCUGCUUGCAGGGUACUCGAGUGGCGAACGGGUGAGUAACACGUGGGUGAUCUGCCCUGCACUUCGGGAUAAGCCUGGGAAACUGGGUCUAAUACCGGAUAGGAGCCAUUUUUAGUGUGAUGGUUGGAAAGUUUUUUCGGUGUAGGAUGAGCUCGCGGCCUAUCAGCUUGUUGGUGGGGUAAUGGCCUACCAAGGCGGCGACGGGUAGCCGGCCUGAGAGGGUGGACGGCCACAUUGGGACUGAGGUACGGCCCAGACUCCGACGGGAGGCAGCAGUGGGGAAUAUUGCACAAUGGGCGCAAGCCUGAUGCAGCGACGCCGCGUGGGGGAUGACGGCCUUCGGGUUGUAAACUCCUUUCGCUAGGGACGAAGCUUUUUGUGACGGUACCUAGAUAAGAAGCACCGGCUAACUACGUG